RNAcentral lists this ribosomal RNA (463 nucleotides) under Vreelandella stevensii. RNAcentral's name for it is "partial 16S ribosomal RNA". It matches the Rfam family "Bacterial small subunit ribosomal RNA", at positions 338 to 795 of the family's 1533-position model. The record is from RNAcentral. Lineage: Bacteria; Pseudomonadati; Pseudomonadota; Gammaproteobacteria; Oceanospirillales; Halomonadaceae.
CCUACGGUGGCUGCAGUGGGGAAUAUUGGACAAUGGGCGAAAGCCUGAUCCAGCCAUGCCGCGUGUGUGAAGAAGGCCUUCGGGUUGUAAAGCACUUUCAGUGGGGAAGAAAGCCUUGGGGCUAAUACCCUCGAGGAAGGACAUCACCCACAGAAGAAGCACCGGCUAACUCCGUGCCAGCAGCCGCGGUAAUACGGGGGGUGCGAGCGUUAAUCGGAAUUACUGGGCGUAAAGCGCGCGUAGGCGGUCUGAUAAGCCGGUUGUGAAAGCCCCGGGCUCAACCUGGGAACGGCAUCCGGAACUGUCAGGCUAGAGUGCAGGAGAGGAAGGUAGAAUUCCCGGUGUAGCGGUGAAAUGCGUAGAGAUCGGGAGGAAUACCAGUGGCGAAGGCGGCCUUCUGGACUGACACUGACGCUGAGGUGCGAAAGCGUGGGUAGCAAACAGGAUUAGAUACCCCAGUGUC